GUGACCCAAAAUAGUAAAAUGGUUUCUGGAUGAUAACUCAAGAACGCUUAUGCCUAGGAUCAUGAAACUUGAUAGGAAGAUUGAUCAUGACUCGCAGUUGACCCCUAUUGAUUUUCAGGACACUAUAUCAAAGGUCAAAGUCACGGUGACCUGAAAUAGUAAAAUGGUUUCCGGAUGAUAACUCAAGAACGCUAAUGGCUACGAUCAUGAAACUUCAUAGGUACAUUGAUCAUGACUUGCAGAUGUCCCCUAUUGAUUCUGAGGACACUAGGUCAAAGGUCAAGGUCAUGGUGACCCGAAAUAGUAAAAUGGUUUCCGGAUGAUAACUCAAGAACGCUUAUGCCUAGGGUCAUGAAACUUCAUAGGUACAUUGAUCAUGACUCGCAGAUGACCCCUAUCGAUUUUGAGGUCACUAGGUCAAAGGUCAAGUUCACGGUGACCCGAAAUAGUAAAAUGGUUUCCGGAUGAUUACUGAAAAACGCUUAUUCCUAGGAUCAUGAAACUUGAUAGGUAGAUUGAUCAUGACUCGCAGUUGACCCCUAUCGAUUUUGAGGUCACUAGGUCGAAGGUCAAGGUCAUGGUGACCCGAAAUAGUAAAAUGGUUUCCGGAUGAUAACUCAAGAAUGCUUAUGGCUAGGAUCAUGAAACUUCAUAGGUACAUUGAUCAUGACUGGCAGAUGAACCCUAUUGAUUUUCAGGUCACUAGGUCAAAGGUCAAGGUCACAGUGACAAAAAACAUGUUCACACAAUUGUUAUCACUACAACGGAGAGCCCAUAUGGGGGGCAUGCAUGUUUUACAAACAGCCCUUGUUUCUUUAAUUUAGACAGAUAAUUCUAAUUUGCUCUUGUACAUGUGUAUGAGGGAUCCGGAUCCGAAAAAAACUGUAUGAAACCAUCAGGGAUUUCAAUAGAUUUUAAAAACCAGGAGUCAAUGACCCCUGGACUGAAAUUUUGAGGAGUCAAAUUGAAAAAUGGUGUGGUCAAUUUUGAAGCGCGUUAAUUGUGUUUUUGUCUGUAUUAUUCAAUUUUUUAGAUAAAAAUAUGCUCUAAGAGUAACACAAUAUCAUAAAAAGUUAUACUGCUUUAUUAAAUAACAAUACCAUGAUACAUAACACAACAUAUUUUAAUGAAUUGGUAUAUUAAAUAUACUUCCUUAUAACACAUUUAAGUCUUUUAACACAUUUAAAUAAUUUAAUAUAUGUACCGGUAGCACCUUUUCAUCACAUAUUUAUCGGCAUUAUAUUAUCAUCAUCCCUAUGAUAGCUUUUCUAACAAAACACAAUCUAAAUUGCAUGGAACAUCUAGUAUAUCUAUUACUGUUUAUUCGAAUACUAUACAUGUCCGAAAUAUGUACACUUUGGAAUGCCUUACCUGUAGUAGUUUUACUUUAAUAAUCCAAAUUUUUCUUGUUGUUAUCGGGUUUAACAAACCUUAUCAAAUGUUUGUUAAAUCCAGUUAAUGCUUUCUCCAUUAUUGAAUUGCCAUUAAUUAUUCCAACAUGACACUCUGGAAGUAAAUAUCUUAACUAAUACAGUCGGUCGGGUAGUUCCGGAUCACUAACGUAAAUAAUGGUGUAAAUAUUUUUAAAAUAAAGCAAUUGCUUUCAAAAAACUUGGAUUGUUGAGGCAAAAUAUUUCAUCUUUCAGGCCAUAUUAAUUUAUUAAUACUUAUCAAUACAUUUCUGAUGCCAAUUUGAACUUAUUCGCUUGCAUAAAGUCGGCUAGUUCUGAAUCGAGUGCGGUAAUUUCGGAUCACUCGGACUAUUUGGAAGAUGUAGGUCAGGGAUCAUCUCAAAACUUAUUUUGACUGUCAACAAUUAUUUUGACUGUCAAAACAAAUGAUGCAUGUAUUAAAUAAAACAUCAGAUAGGUUCGUUUGUUUCAGUUUAAUAACUGUCUGACAAUUUAAAAACAUUAUGGGGUGUAUGACUGUACACAGGAGAAUAAAGCUGUUGGAAAGUAUUUAUGUUUUGAUUUGAAAUGGAUUCCUCUGUAUUAUUGGUUAUAUAAAACAAGCACAAAUACUCAAUACAAGCAAUUUAUUGAUAAACUCAAGAUACCUUCUU
Dreissena polymorpha is the source of this 2065-nucleotide long non-coding RNA. RefSeq lists it as uncharacterized. The transcript is spliced from 2 exons. The record is from RefSeq and is a predicted model, not a curated record. NCBI's taxonomy places the organism in Eukaryota, Metazoa, Mollusca, Bivalvia, Myida, Dreissenidae.